This is a long non-coding RNA of Peromyscus californicus insignis, 2769 nucleotides long. RefSeq lists it as uncharacterized. Lineage: Eukaryota; Metazoa; Chordata; Mammalia; Rodentia; Cricetidae. The record is from RefSeq and is a predicted model, not a curated record. The transcript has 3 exons.
UGCUGGAGGGGAAGGAUGGGUGCAACCCUGGGUUUCAGAAACCAGCUACAAGAAGCAACAUCUACACAGCACCUAUUGAGCAUCAGCUGCAUGCACGCGUGCGAGAGAGUGCGCGCACACACACACACAUACACACAUGCACACACACACACACGUGCACACUGAGACAUGAGGCCGCCAUCUGCACUCAGCACUCAACAGAUGAGCAGAAACCUGCAGCAGUCCAGCAUCCGUGUGUGGCCACACAGCAAGUUGGGGUGGAACCGGUGAGAGGCAGGAAGAAGGGAAGGCUGUGGGAGAUGCUCCCCAAAGUCUCUCAGCCACUUGGCCAAUGCCGGAAGGUCAUGGGUGGGGACUUGGGGUAGCCAACCACUGCCUCCGCAGAAGCAAAGGCCUGAGAAGUUCCCAGCAACCGACUCUCCUGAAUGGACUGUCCCUUUCCCACUGGUGCUCAACGAGUCAAUAUUUAACUGUGACACCCGGGGCCAGAGCCACUCUCCUAACUGAAGAUGGCAAAGAAAGGCAGCUGAUGACGUCUAAUAGAUAGAGGCAAAUUCAUGCACCACGCAAAGCCCCGCAAACACCCGUGUUGCAGCAGGAACCAGGAAACAGAGGGGUGAAGCAUCUUGUCCAAGGGCACACAGACACCCCAGAAGUUCAGCUCAGGCACAGGACUGCUAAUGGUGACUCAUCUGCCUUCCCAUGGACUCAUGACAGCCAGGGCCGGCUGACCAGAAACCAGCAAUGCAGCCAUGCAGCCAUGCAGCCAUGCACCCGCCUGUGUGCUGCUGCAGCGCCUGCACGAUACCACCUUUUGUGUCCAACACCUUACAGAAGAUGCCAUGUCAGAGGGGAAUCAGUCAACAGUGGUGGGCAUGCUCCAGCCUCAUCACUAGACCAUUGAAUAAACCCAAUAUUGGGGGAAGAAGUACCUGAAGAGAACACUUGCUAAGAUUAACAGCCCAACUCACUCCACUAACCAUCAUGGAAGGAGUCAUUACAUCAUUCCUGUCCAGGGAAGAAGCCAGCCACCCUCAGGAUGAUCCAUAAGACCAACUCAAUGGACACCUUGGGAACCACCUGCAAGUAGUCCCCAGCCAGAUGACUCAGACACGGUGGUUAGAUCUGCGGUUGAUGUUGUCUUUGCCUGAGCAAAGAGGCGGAUGACAUCGGUGUGAUGCAGUUGAAUACUGACUUGAUAACAAUGGGAAGGCCACAGGAGACCCCCUCCCCAGAGCCUUGCUGAGCUAGUGUCACACAAGCAAGCAAAGACCCAACCGCACACUCACCAAGUGAGAGACUGCUGUGCAGAAGGUACUUUGGCUCCCUUAUCUGGCAAAAAGGAUCAUGGGAGUUAUUACUUGAUCUCUUUAAAUGACCAUGUGCUUGUAUUCUGUAGUGAGGAAGCAAAGCACCAUGCAACUAUGUAUCAAACAGAAGUGGGGAUCAUGGCAGGGUGGGGUGCGGUGUCAGGAGUCAUAGUGAUGGACCUGCGGCCGCCAGGCUGGCCAUCUGAAUGAUGAAGGCUGUUGUUGCUGUUGGAAACUGGGGUUCUUGGCAGGAUGCUGAAGGUGUGGCUUUGUUCCUAGAGGCUGGUCCAGCUACAGACUAAGAAAUGGGGGCUUGGCUGAAUCUAACCAGGAGGUCGGGAAGGUUCCGAGGGGCUCUGACACUCGGUAGGAGGUGGAGUGGGAACUUGGUGGGUGGUUAUGGCAGGAAGGGCACUCCAGGGCGAGGCCCAGCACCUGUGAAGGUCUAGAGGCUGGACAUGGUCAGCCUGUUCAAGGUCAGAAAGGCUGGAGAGAGGGUGAGUUAAGGAGUGUGGGCAAGGGAGAAAGGCUGCAGAGGUGGAGCUUCCUGCCCACAAGUACCUAUGCAUGGUGCUCACGAGGCCCCUUUCAGUGCCUGAGUUCAAGUCUCAGCUCGGCUCCUUAUCGGCUUUGUGACUCUGGGCAAGUGGCUUUGUGUCUCUGAGCCUUGGCUUCUUCGGUGACAAAAAUAAAGAUACCAUAUGCCUCAAAAGCUUGUUAUAAGAGUAAAGAUUCAUUCAUUCAUUCAUUCAGCACUUGCUUGUGGAGACAAUGCCACUGGGUAUCCAAGCCAAGGACACCUUGACCUCAUGUGACUAAAAUGUUGUAAAAGACACAAUAGCUAUACAGCCCUAACAAACAUGUGAUUGUGACAUUAUUUGAUCAUUGAUCAAACUGAAAGGAAAUUGAGGAAUGUGGUGAGUGAUGUGAACAUUAGGCUACACCCCGCUUUGGGUGUGGAAAGAAAAUGUGGUCACGAGGACAUGGUGUGAGGAUGCCAGCGAGCCAAGGUCAGGGAGCUCAACACGGAGGAAGAAAUGCAAUGAGGACUCCAGGGAGGAAGGCUGCUCAGGGUGUAUGGAAGGAACAUCGAUUCAGUAUGGCUGGAGCCGCUGAAGGAGCUCCUGAAUACACAAAGCAAACACUGACUGAAUUGGAGAGAGAAAUUGAUAGCAGCCACGUUGGCAGAAGCCUUCAAUAUCCCCACUGUCAAUAACGGAUGAAACAACCAGAAGACAACGGGAGGGGAGCAGGCACCUGAACAACCGUAUUGACCAGGAAGACUGACGUAACGGACGCUCAUGUGCAUCCUCUGCGACAGGCCUUGUGUUAGGCCACAAAGCAAAACAAAUCAAUAGAAUCAGGAAUAUUAAAAUCCCACACAGUAAACUGCCCCCCAGUCAGAAUGAAAUGAAGCUAGUAAUCAAUCCUAGGAGGAAAAUGGAAAUACACACAAAUA